UUUCCGUAGGUGAACCUGCGGAAGGAUCAUUAAAGAAUUUGCCCCGUCCUCUCGAGGAUGGGUCCUCUUCUAAACCGUGUAUACAUACCUUUGUUGCUUUGGCGGGCCGCCGUCUCGGCGUUGGCCUCGGCUGACUGUGCCCGCCAGAGAACCCCAACUCUUCUGCUUAGUAUUGUCUGAGUACUAUAUAAUAGUUAAAACUUUCAACAACGGAUCUCUUGGUUCUG
RNAcentral lists this unclassified non-coding RNA (227 nucleotides) under plant metagenome. RNAcentral's name for it is "partial contains small subunit ribosomal RNA, internal transcribed spacer 1, and 5.8S ribosomal RNA". The record is from RNAcentral.